UACGAAGGACCCGAGCGUUAUCCGGAUUUAUUGGGUUUAAAGGGUACGUAGGCGGAUUUAUAAGUCAGUGGUGAAAUCUCCCAGCUCAACUGGGAAACUGCCAUUGAAACUGUUUAUCUUGAGUACAUUUGAGGCGGGCGGAAUGUGUCAUGUAGAGGUGAAAUUCUUAGAUAUGACACAGAACACCAAUUGCGAAGGCAGCUCGCUAAACUGUAACUGACGCUGAGGCACGAAAGCGUGGGGAUCAAACAGG
RNAcentral lists this ribosomal RNA (253 nucleotides) under uncultured bacterium. Its description in RNAcentral is "partial 16S ribosomal RNA". It matches the Rfam family "Bacterial small subunit ribosomal RNA", at positions 524 to 776 of the family's 1533-position model. The record is from RNAcentral.